GGGUUGUGAGGUUAAGCGACUAAGCGUACACGGUGGAUGCCCUGGCAGUCAGAGGCGAUGAAGGACGUGCUAAUCUGCGAUAAGCGUCGGUAAGGUGAUAUGAACCGUUAUAACCGGCGAUUUCCGAAUGGGGAAACCCAGUGUGUUUCGACACACUAUCAUUAACUGAAUCCAUAGGUUAAUGAGGCGAACCGGGGGAACUGAAACAUCUAAGUACCCCGAGGAAAAGAAAUCAACCGAGAUUCCCCCAGUAGCGGCGAGCGAACGGGGAGCAGCCCAGAGCCUGAAUCAGUGUGUGUGUUAGUGGAAGCGUCUGGAAAGGCGCGCGAUACAGGGUGACAGCCCCGUACACAAAAAUGCACAUGCUGUGAGCUCGAUGAGUAGGGCGGGACACGUGGUAUCCUGUCUGAAUAUGGGGGGACCAUCCUCCAAGGCUAAAUACUCCUGACUGACCGAUAGUGAACCAGUACCGUGAGGGAAAGGCGAAAAGAACCCCGGCGAGGGGAGUGAAAAAGAACCUGAAACCGUGUACGUACAAGCAGUGGGAGCACGCUUAGGCGUGUGACUGCGUACCUUUUGUAUAAUGGGUCAGCGACUUAUAUUCUGUAGCAAGGUUAACCGAAUAGGGGAGCCGAAGGGAAACCGAGUCUUAACUGGGCGUUAAGUUGCAGGGUAUAGACCCGAAACCCGGUGAUCUAGCCAUGGGCAGGUUGAAGGUUGGGUAACACUAACUGGAGGACCGAACCGACUAAUGUUGAAAAAUUAGCGGAUGACUUGUGGCUGGGGGUGAAAGGCCAAUCAAACCGGGAGAUAGCUGGUUCUCCCCGAAAGCUAUUUAGGUAGCGCCUCGUGAAUUCAUCUCCGGGGGUAGAGCACUGUUUCGGCAAGGGGGUCAUCCCGACUUACCAACCCGAUGCAAACUGCGAAUACCGGAGAAUGUUAUCACGGGAGACACACGGCGGGUGCUAACGUCCGUCGUGAAGAGGGAAACAACCCAGACCGCCAGCUAAGGUCCCAAAGUCAUGGUUAAGUGGGAAACGAUGUGGGAAGGCCCAGACAGCCAGGAUGUUGGCUUAGAAGCAGCCAUCAUUUAAAGAAAGCGUAAUAGCUCACUGGUCGAGUCGGCCUGCGCGGAAGAUGUAACGGGGCUAAACCAUGCACCGAAGCUGCGGCAGCGACGCUUAUGCGUUGUUGGGUAGGGGAGCGUUCUGUAAGCCUGUGAAGGUGUGCUGUGAGGCAUGCUGGAGGUAUCAGAAGUGCGAAUGCUGACAUAAGUAACGAUAAAGCGGGUGAAAAGCCCGCUCGCCGGAAGACCAAGGGUUCCUGUCCAACGUUAAUCGGGGCAGGGUGAGUCGACCCCUAAGGCGAGGCCGAAAGGCGUAGUCGAUGGGAAACAGGUUAAUAUUCCUGUACUUGGUGUUACUGCGAAGGGGGGACGGAGAAGGCUAUGUUGGCCGGGCGACGGUUGUCCCGGUUUAAGCGUGUAGGCUGGUUUUCCAGGCAAAUCCGGAAAAUCAAGGCUGAGGCGUGAUGACGAGGCACUACGGUGCUGAAGCAACAAAUGCCCUGCUUCCAGGAAAAGCCUCUAAGCAUCAGGUAACAUCAAAUCGUACCCCAAACCGACACAGGUGGUCAGGUAGAGAAUACCAAGGCGCUUGAGAGAACUCGGGUGAAGGAACUAGGCAAAAUGGUGCCGUAACUUCGGGAGAAGGCACGCUGAUAUGUAGGUGAAGCGACUUGCUCGUGGAGCUGAAAUCAGUCGAAGAUACCAGCUGGCUGCAACUGUUUAUUAAAAACACAGCACUGUGCAAACACGAAAGUGGACGUAUACGGUGUGACGCCUGCCCGGUGCCGGAAGGUUAAUUGAUGGGGUCAGCGCAAGCGAAGCUCUUGAUCGAAGCCCCGGUAAACGGCGGCCGUAACUAUAACGGUCCUAAGGUAGCGAAAUUCCUUGUCGGGUAAGUUCCGACCUGCACGAAUGGCGUAAUGAUGGCCAGGCUGUCUCCACCCGAGACUCAGUGAAAUUGAACUCGCUGUGAAGAUGCAGUGUACCCGCGGCAAGACGGAAAGACCCCGUGAACCUUUACUAUAGCUUGACACUGAACAUUGAGCCUUGAUGUGUAGGAUAGGUGGGAGGCUUUGAAGUGUGGACGCCAGUCUGCAUGGAGCCGACCUUGAAAUACCACCCUUUAAUGUUUGAUGUUCUAACGUUGACCCGUAAUCCGGGUUGCGGACAGUGUCUGGUGGGUAGUUUGACUGGGGCGGUCUCCUCCUAAAGAGUAACGGAGGAGCACGAAGGUUGGCUAAUCCUGGUCGGACAUCAGGAGGUUAGUGCAAUGGCAUAAGCCAGCUUGACUGCGAGCGUGACGGCGCGAGCAGGUGCGAAAGCAGGUCAUAGUGAUCCGGUGGUUCUGAAUGGAAGGGCCAUCGCUCAACGGAUAAAAGGUACUCCGGGGAUAACAGGCUGAUACCGCCCAAGAGUUCAUAUCGACGGCGGUGUUUGGCACCUCGAUGUCGGCUCAUCACAUCCUGGGGCUGAAGUAGGUCCCAAGGGUAUGGCUGUUCGCCAUUUAAAGUGGUACGCGAGCUGGGUUUAGAACGUCGUGAGACAGUUCGGUCCCUAUCUGCCGUGGGCGCUGGAGAACUGAGGGGGGCUGCUCCUAGUACGAGAGGACCGGAGUGGACGCAUCACUGGUGUUCGGGUUGUCAUGCCAAUGGCACUGCCCGGUAGCUAAAUGCGGAAGAGAUAAGUGCUGAAAGCAUCUAAGCACGAAACUUGCCCCGAGAUGAGUUCUCCCUGACUCCUUGAGAGUCCUGAAGGAACGUUGAAGACGACGACGUUGAUAGGCCGGGUGUGUAAGCGCAGCGAUGCGUUGAGCUAACCGGUACUAAUGAACCGUGAGGCUUAACCUUACAACGCCGAAGCUGUU
RNAcentral lists this ribosomal RNA (2930 nucleotides) under Escherichia coli. RNAcentral describes it as "23S ribosomal RNA". It matches the Rfam family "Bacterial large subunit ribosomal RNA". The record is from RNAcentral. Lineage: Bacteria; Pseudomonadati; Pseudomonadota; Gammaproteobacteria; Enterobacterales; Enterobacteriaceae.